UACAGAGGUCCCAAGCGUUGUUCGGAUUUACUGGGCGUAAAGGGCGGCGUAAGGCGGCGUGGUAAGUCAAUUGUGAAAUCUCCGGGCUUAACCCGGAAAGGUCAACCGAUACUGCGGGGCUAGAGUGACAGAAGGGGCAACUGGAAUUCUCGGUGUGAGCGGGUGAAAUGCGUAGAUAUCGAGAGGAACACCUGCGGCGAAGGCGGGUUGCUGGGCUGACACUGAGCGCUGAAGUGCGAAAGCUAGGGGAGCGAACGGG
This 259-nucleotide ribosomal RNA is filed under the name uncultured bacterium. RNAcentral's name for it is "partial 16S ribosomal RNA". It matches the Rfam family "Bacterial small subunit ribosomal RNA", at positions 524 to 776 of the family's 1533-position model. The record is from RNAcentral.